Long non-coding RNA from Symphalangus syndactylus (siamang), 344 nucleotides. RefSeq lists it as uncharacterized. The record is from RefSeq and is a predicted model, not a curated record. Lineage: Eukaryota; Metazoa; Chordata; Mammalia; Primates; Hylobatidae.
AGCUGCCCGUGCGGUGACCGUCGAGGUGACCCGCAGCUGGCUCCAUGGCGGAACCGGCCGGCACGGAUUAUUCCCCUCUCGGGAGAGAGGUCUGCAGCCGGGCCUCAGUGCUUCAGUUCGUGGCCUGGCAUUUUGUAGAUGGGGUCUCAUCUGUUGCCCAGGCUGGUCUCAAACUCCUGGCUUCAAGCAAUCCUCCUGCUUCGGCCUCCCAAACUUCUGGGAUUACAGAUAUGAGCCACCACGGCUUGCUGAUGGGCACCAGAUUCUCGGAGAGGACUUGAAUAGGCUCCCAAGGAGGCAGCAGAAACCGAGGUAAUCACAACGGUCAACAGCAGUGAAGGCAG